This is a long non-coding RNA of Herpailurus yagouaroundi (jaguarundi), 826 nucleotides long. RefSeq lists it as uncharacterized. NCBI's taxonomy places the organism in Eukaryota, Metazoa, Chordata, Mammalia, Carnivora, Felidae. The record is from RefSeq and is a predicted model, not a curated record. The transcript has 2 exons.
CCCGUCUUGCUCAUCAGGAUUCCCAACUCACACACAGGCAGAGCUGUAGACCGGAAUUGGUGGAACCACUCUGGAAAACAGGACAAAGAUUCCUCACAAAAUUCAAUAUAGACCUACCAUAGGAUCCAGCAAUUCCAUUUCUGUGUGUUGAUCUGAACAAAAUGGAAACACUAACCGGAAAAGAUACGUGCACCCCUAGGUUCAUGGCACCAUUAUUUACAACAGCCACAAGAUAGAAACAACCUAAGCGUCCGUCAGUGGAUAAACUGGUAAUACCAGGACGACAGGUGGAUGUCAGAGCCAGAAGCUGAACAGCGCCACCAAGCUGACAGGCUGCUUCAGUGGUAGCUAAAUCCCAUGCCCAUGUUUAUUUUUAAUUUCAUUUUAAUCCAAGCAGUAAAUAUAUAUAAUGUUGAAGAGUUAGUUGCUACUGCAAACUGGACCCUACGACAAGGCUUAUAAAAAGAACCUCCCGUGCUACCCCCAGUCACAGCCAUGAAGCAAUAACUCAUUCUGUAGUUAUCUCUUCAAACCUGAUUAUGGGGUCACUUCCAAGAUCUUUUCAUUUUAGGCUUUUUGUAUUGAUCUGCAGCUACGGAGGAAAAGAAUUUCGUUUUCCUCUCUCUCGCUCUCUCUCACUCUCUCUUUCUCUACACACACACACACACACACACACACACACACACACACCCUCUCCAAUUUUCCCCAAAUAAUUACAUCAUAAUUUUUGGUUAAAUCAAUGUGCUGUUUUCACAUUAUAAUGGCAAUGUAAUAUUAUCUCCAGCUAAGUGUUGAUGCUUAUGAUAAUUACAACGUUUUUCUUAUG